This is a long non-coding RNA of Notolabrus celidotus (New Zealand spotty), 438 nucleotides long. RefSeq lists it as uncharacterized. The transcript is spliced from 2 exons. The record is from RefSeq and is a predicted model, not a curated record. Lineage: Eukaryota; Metazoa; Chordata; Actinopteri; Labriformes; Labridae.
CGUGUGUAUGAUGUCUGUGGUGUGGCGUUCACUGACUGCUAUUUCACCCGCAUUCAGGAUGCUAACUACUAGCAGGUGAGGACGUCCAGAAGCCACAAAUGGAGGGUCAUUUUGACGUCGAGAAGGACCAGAAAAGGACUGAUCAACAAGCUGCCUAAAAACUGUGUGUCAACUGCAAAGCCUCAAGAAGGAGAGCCGAAUGAGGACAGACAUGUCUGUCCACCUUGUCUGAUUUUACCUUCACUGGAAAUAUUUAACAUUAGUUAUAACAAAUAUGUAUGCUAAUGUUGCUUGACCAUGAAAUAGGUUCAGUUUAAUGUUUAGUCAUCCCACAAGGAGGCUAACAAGAAUUUGUUGUCAUGAAAUCCUUUCCAACUGUGGAGUUGGAAGUACUGUUUAUUUUAUUAGGUGUAUGAAUAAAUCCUCUUUUAAACAAUA